Molecule: non-coding RNA, 383 nt
Organism: Pogona vitticeps (central bearded dragon)
Lineage: Eukaryota; Metazoa; Chordata; Lepidosauria; Squamata; Agamidae
Source: RefSeq, a predicted model, not a curated record
CUAGAAUUCUGGGAACAGACAACAACAGGCUGGGAAAUCCUCCGGGAAAUAGAGAACAGGCAGUGUGCAGGGCUUACCCCUGGUGAGAACAGCAGCAGUCAUGAAAACGAGAGGAGCCGAUCUGUCUCGCAGGGUUGCUGAGAAGAUUAUUUGAAAAACAACAGCCUCGUGAAUGAUGAGUUGGAGAAUGGAAACCUACGACAACCUGAGCUGGUGCUCCUACAGUAACCAGAGCGAGGAUGAUGAGGACGAGGACAGGGAGGGGCAGAGCCGCCGUCACCACCUCCACUUGGCCAAGGCGCGGUCCCGGAGCUCCAGCCGCUCCCGCCGACGAUCCUCUUUCCUGGUGGACGAGCUGGACAUGCUGAUGGACCAGGCGGCCA